AUAAAACUCUCUUAUAGCAAAACACUAAUCAUGUAUUAAUCAUUGUACAUAAAUCAUACAACACCUGAUGUAAUUGGGAUUAUGUUAUACUUGGACAAAAAGACAAAAAGGCAAAGAAAAAGGAUGCCUUGAUGUUAGGGCAGGAGAAGAAAAUAAGAGAAACAAAAACAAAAACAAAAGAAAGAAAGAAUGAUGGAAGCCCAUAACAGAACAUACAAUGCAACCUCCUACGGUUACAAACCUAUAAUACAGGGGGAAA
Jatropha curcas is the source of this 259-nucleotide non-coding RNA. The record is from RefSeq and is a predicted model, not a curated record. NCBI's taxonomy places the organism in Eukaryota, Viridiplantae, Streptophyta, Magnoliopsida, Malpighiales, Euphorbiaceae.